This 253-nucleotide ribosomal RNA is filed under the name uncultured bacterium. Its description in RNAcentral is "partial 16S ribosomal RNA". It matches the Rfam family "Bacterial small subunit ribosomal RNA", at positions 524 to 776 of the family's 1533-position model. The record is from RNAcentral.
UACGGGGGGAGCAAGCGUUGUUCGGAUUUACUGGGCGUAAAGGGCGCGUAGGCGGUGCGGUAAGUCACUUGUGAAAUCUCUGAGCUUAACUCAGAACGGCCAAGUGAUACUGCAGUACUAGAGUGCGGAAGGGGCAAUCGGAAUUCUUGGUGUAGCGGUGAAAUGCGUAGAUAUCAAGAGGAACACCUGAGGUGAAGACGGGUUGCUGGGCCGACACUGACGCUGAUGCGCGAAAGCCAGGGGAGCAAGCGGG